UGGCAUUUUCAGAUGGCUUGGCAAGUUCUCAUGCUCUUUUUAAUCCAAGACAUAUAUAUAAGAAUCAACUUUUCACAUUGAAUCAGGCUACUCGUGUAUGUGCCUUUUAGUCUCUUCCUCAAAUUUUCUUCUAGAUGGUGCAAAUGGAGAUUCCAGAUAAGGAGGAAUGUCAAUACACAGUUCCACAUUGAUUCGUGAGAAAGAUACAUUAAUUUAGAACAAGUGGAGUACCUUUAGUUUCCUCAUGUACAUCAGCGAAUGUUGUCUUUUUUACCGUUAAAUUACUCUUUUCCUUAUCUUCCUCCACCCAUUAUCUUUGCCUCUCUUCCUCCCGAGCCCAGGCUCAUCACAUUUUUCAAUGGUGCAUCUAGAUCGCAAUCAGACCUUCCAUCUCCACCCAGACUUUAACCAUGCACUUGAUUUACAUCUCACACUGUUUAACUUCUCCCUCCCUUUGCCUCUCUCGCUGCAAUGCAACAUUCUCUCUCUCCCUCCCUCCCUUCCCUCUUCCAAUUAAACUACGGCAUUUAAGAAGUAAGCAUUAUGUGUGAGAUGUAAAUAGUUGUGCCAGAAGGACAAUGAAGUUUAAUGCGGCUCUAUUGGUUAAAAGUAACAACCGCAUAAAAAAUAUCAUAAAACGUUUAAUGAUUUAUAAGUUGCAUCCUGAUUUUAAUAAAUUUAGGCUAACUUAUAAAUCACUUGUUCAUGAUAUUGUUCUAGGAGAAAAUAGUUGAUUUCCCUUCUCGGGAAUUUAUUAUUUAAGGUAUGUGAUAUUGUUCACUAUAAAAAUAUGUUACAUUUCUCUAUGAGCAAAUAGUUGAUUUCCCUUCAUAUAAAAAAACAACCGAUUUUUCUAAAAAAAAAUGGGUCACCCCUCAUACGCCCGGGCUGGCCGCCCGAUCACUGACCGAUCAUGAUUUUUUGACACUGACGGGCCUCUCAGACGGACCUGAAACGCCCGGGCUAACCGGCACCCCCAUAUCCACCUAAAUAUGGGGCGGAUAUGGGGGCGCCCCGGCAUGCCCGCCACGUCGGACCCGGCCCAUACUGGCCCACCAGACCCCACUUAUAUUCAUCCCCAUCCGCUUGCCGGAGCAAACCCUAGCCACAUCACUCCACUCCUCUCCCCUUCCCUCCGCCACCCGAGCUCACCUCCGGCGGAUUUCGACCUUCUCCGCCAUGGCAGACAGCGGAUCAGACUCCGACUAGUCCAGAUCCGUCGACUGGGGUGUCAUCCCGUGUGGGUUGGAGGAGGCAAUGGCAGUCCACACACUCCGCAGCCCCUGGGAGGACAGCACCCGACCGACAGACGGAUCCGUCCGUCGUGAAGCCAUAGCGUCUGCUCACCGGGCGCUCAGGUCCUCUGGUGCUGGAUCCUCGCGGUCCCGGCAGCCGAAACACUUCUCCUUCCCCAUCACCGGUCGGGCAGACUACGAGUCUCACCGGGAACAGGCAGCACGCUGUGGGAAGGAGACAAUAAGGGCCGCCGAGGCUGGUAUAGCGGCGGAAAUGGCGGCGGCGGAGGCGGCUGAUGCAACGACGAGGGCGGCCGAAGAGGAGGAAGCCAUCCACGCCCACAUUUGUAAGAAACUGCAGCGGAGGACCACGCGCGCCCUCGCCCUAUAGCAGAAUCGGGCGGUCUGUGCCAUGAACGGACUGCCACCGAAGGAGGAGAAGGAGGACAACGACUGCGAGGACAGCUCCGGUGACGAGCAGAUCCGGCUCGAUCCGUACUGCGUCUUCGACCGAUACUUUCGCGAGAAGGACGACAAGGGCGUCGGGAAGGGCAAGGGCAGCCGUGGAUGAACUCCACCAUAGCCAAACAUGCCAAAUUUUGGUAGUCCGAUGGCAUGUUUAGUGUAGUGUGACGGAGUAGCCGGACGAUGCGUAUGUGUCGACGUAGUUGCAUGAGUUUGUAUGGAUUUGAGAUAUGCUAAUUGAGGUGUCCGGAUGUGGAUUGUAUUUUUUUAGGAGUGCCCGGUCACUGCCCACGGACGCACCCGGGCACGUCCGCGGGUGUUUAAGGGGCCGGAUUUGCCAACUCCGAUUGUAAAUGCUCUAACAAAAUAUAUCGCUGAAAAAUACUACAUAACACACUUUUCUGGGAUCAUUGCACGUUUUCUGUCGCGUAACGGUUUUUCUUUACUUCCCAAUAUAGCACAACACCGGACGCCGCACAACGCUCUCGUUCCCCUCACUCUCUCCGCACCACUCUCUCAUUCCCCUCCACCAAAUCCCUAGCUCUAGUCCGACGAACCGCCUCCCUCUCGCCCGCGUCGCCGCCUCCCUCCGACGGACGCGCGUCGCCACCUUCUCUCCCUCUCGCACGCGUCGCCUGCUCCAAAGAUUUCUUUACCGAGGUUGAGGAGGAGCAGGCGGAGCGCGGGCAGGGCGGACUUCUCCUACCCGACAACGGCUGCAAUGAACGCCGGCGCUCCUCAUCGCCCUCGACCUGCAAGGAGGAGCGCCCGUACUGGACGCUGCCGUCCCCGACAGGUUCUCUUCGAUGGAGCCCCCCUCCAUCUCGACGGCACCUGAGAGCGAGCCCGCACCCGUCCCAGUCGACUACCAUGCUCUACGCUCGACGGCAAGACCCACGAGAUGGGAGUAGGAUGUAUGUUGCGAAGGGAAGAACUGUGGGAUAUGGACGACGAGGCAGCUCGUGAAGAUGCGGUUGCUGCGUCUGCACUGAUUAGAUGAGAAGGUGCUGCUAGGCGAGGAGUGCUCUGGGCAGCGAGGAGUGCCUGGGCCAGCAGCGCCUCUAGGCGGCGAGGAGUGCCUAGGCCAGCGCGGCUAGGACGAGCGCCAGUAGCGGUGGCCUCCACCUGGGCGCCUGGCCAAGGAGGAGUGCCUGGGUGCGGUGCGGCAAGCAGUGCCUGGGAAAUAGUGAGGCGUGAGUUGCUGGGCGAGGCACGAGGUGCUGACGACGGCGAGGUUAAAAUUCAAAUAGAUCUGGGAGCAGAACAAUGGUACCCAUAAAAUGGAGAAAAGGUCAUGAUAUAGUGUGGAAUGCAAAUAUUGUUCAUACUGACCUUGCAAAAUGAAGUCAGACCAGAACUGGAUGAUUGAUGCAGGCGAACAAAAUUAAGUUUCGAGAGAUGGCGGGAAGCAGCCACUGCCGCUCUGCGACACCGCAAUACGAGUUGGAUGCUUCUG
Long non-coding RNA from Triticum dicoccoides, 3156 nucleotides. RefSeq lists it as uncharacterized. The record is from RefSeq and is a predicted model, not a curated record. The transcript is spliced from 5 exons. Lineage: Eukaryota; Viridiplantae; Streptophyta; Magnoliopsida; Poales; Poaceae.